This 216-nucleotide long non-coding RNA is filed under the name Prunus persica (peach). RNAcentral's name for it is "long non-coding RNA (PPER_LNC006538)". Lineage: Eukaryota; Viridiplantae; Streptophyta; Magnoliopsida; Rosales; Rosaceae. The record is from RNAcentral.
CAUAAUGAAUAUGAAUUUAAAAUAAGCAAAUUCAUGGAAACAUCAAAUUUCACUCAAGCGUACCUGUGUUCCUCUCCAUGCUAAAAGCUGGUUUUUAGUCGAUAGUUUGAGACUCUAGAUCAUGCAGAGUCUAUGGUCUAAAUACCUUGUCCAAUUAAAGCUUCGGAAUAAAGAAGGCGACAGAUAGAUUAGAAAAGUGGAUGAGUCAAAAAGUUU